RNAcentral lists this long non-coding RNA (408 nucleotides) under Manihot esculenta (cassava). Its description in RNAcentral is "long non-coding RNA (MESC_LNC005701)". Lineage: Eukaryota; Viridiplantae; Streptophyta; Magnoliopsida; Malpighiales; Euphorbiaceae. The record is from RNAcentral.
UUGCACUAUCAUUAUUUAUUGUGGAAUAUCAUGUAAGAAUUUAUUAAGCUUACUUGCAGAUUCAGGCCAUUGACAAAGAGCUAAAAGCAUUGAAAGCUAUGUUCAAAUGCAUCACGGAUUACAAGAUUGAUGGCCUCUCGUCUGCAAAACUUAAAGAACAAAUUUCCCAACUGCUAAAACAGAAAGAAGAGAAAGUUCAAAUGAUUGAAAAUUCAAAAGCCAAAAUCAGACCUGGUUCCUCGUCUGAAUCUAAUGCUGACCUGCGACAGCAGAGUGGAAAUAAGCGUCCUAGAAUUCAUGCAGAGGAUCCUCCAAGAGCAUCCAGUCAUGGGACAUAUGCAGUUCAUUCAAUGCGACCUUCCCAGCCGCCGCCGCCAGGUUUCUUUCCGAUUCAUGGUGUUCCUCACA